RNAcentral lists this small RNA (95 nucleotides) under Olea europaea subsp. europaea. The record is from RNAcentral. Lineage: Eukaryota; Viridiplantae; Streptophyta; Magnoliopsida; Lamiales; Oleaceae.
GUUUCUCCGGGGACAUCCGAUAAAAUGAAAAGAUGAGACUAGCAUAAUCCUGUACAAGGAAGACUUGAACAAAUCGUGUAAUGGUCCAACCUUUU